Molecule: long non-coding RNA, 201 nt
Filed under: Mytilus galloprovincialis (Mediterranean mussel)
Lineage: Eukaryota; Metazoa; Mollusca; Bivalvia; Mytilida; Mytilidae
Source: RNAcentral
CUAUACAAAGCCUUUCUCACCCUUUUACAAUACUCAAUGAUUUGUAUAGUAAAUCCUUGCAAUACUGAAGUAUGCUGUUUGGUAUUUACAUAGGAAAAGCAUUAUAUCACCUAGAAUUUAAAUCAAUAAAUACGAAUUGAUGUGUAAAAAGAGGCGAACAGUUAGUAGCCUACAUGGAUAUAUACGAUUAGCACAUUGCCC